RNAcentral lists this transfer RNA (71 nucleotides) under Brassica oleracea var. oleracea. It matches the Rfam family "tRNA". Rfam says of the family: Transfer RNA (tRNA) molecules are approximately 80 nucleotides in length. The record is from Rfam by way of RNAcentral. Lineage: Eukaryota; Viridiplantae; Streptophyta; Magnoliopsida; Brassicales; Brassicaceae.
GGGGGUGUAGCUCAUAUGGUAGAGCGCUCCCUUCGCAUCCGAGAGGCACGGGGUUCGAUCCUGCACCUCCA